CGAGGCGUAGCGCAGCCUGGUAGCGCAUCUGCUUUGGGAGCAGAGGGUCGCAGGUUCAAAUCCUGCUGCCUCGA
Molecule: transfer RNA, 74 nt
Filed under: Pseudomonadales bacterium
Lineage: Bacteria; Pseudomonadati; Pseudomonadota; Gammaproteobacteria; Pseudomonadales
Description: tRNA-Pro
Rfam family: tRNA
About the family: Transfer RNA (tRNA) molecules are approximately 80 nucleotides in length. Their secondary structure includes four short double-helical elements and three loops (D, anti-codon, and T loops). Further hydrogen bonds mediate the characteristic L-shaped molecular structure. tRNAs have two regions of fundamental functional importance: the anti-codon, which is responsible for specific mRNA codon recognition, and the 3' end, to which the tRNAs corresponding amino acid is attached (by aminoacyl-tRNA synthetases). tRNAs cope with the degeneracy of the genetic code in two manners: having more than one tRNA (with a specific anti-codon) for a particular amino acid; and 'wobble' base-pairing, i.e. permitting non-standard base-pairing at the 3rd anti-codon position.
Source: RNAcentral